CUCUCUCCACUUCAUUUAUUACGAAACAGAUAAUGUCUUACUAAAAUAUCAAGAUUACCCAUACCAAACUCUCAAAACUAAUUAGAAUACAAUGGCCAAUCCGUCUUUAGAAUCUGCAAGAAACCUUCGUACAGAAACUAUCUGCUAUUUGUCGUCUUGGUCACAAAAAAUACAACUGUACUUAUUUCAUCCCAGCCGUUGUUCUUAUUGUGUAGUUACAUCAAACGGUAAAAAAUUAAAAAUCACUGACGUGUCACCUUCCUCCUAUUGUUUACUCGUCUGUUCAUCAGCAGGGUCAGGGUGAUUUCACUGUUCACUCCACUAUUCACUCCAUUUACUCCCCUUUCUUUCCUCUUCCCUUCACUCUAAUGUUUGCAUCAACAAUGAUGGUUCAAGAUAAUGAAGAUCAAGAUCAAGAUGACCCCGCACAACUACCCCCUAUGGCUUUCCUGUAGACGUGCUACUGGUUCCUGGCGUCGUCUUGUCGAAUUUAGUCAAUGUUCCUGCGUUUGAUUUCAUUGUCAUACUACGAUCUACCCACCGAUACAUUUGUUUGGACAACAAAUUGAACCUGGGGACAGAACCUAAGUUUGUUGUUCACUCUCUUUGAUCCGUUAAUCAGAGCAUUGUUCAUCAAUUACCUUAUGACAGUACGAUGGAGUACAAAAUAGUUGGUACUGAGUUUGAGACCCAGUUACAAUUUUGUUUCGCGCCACUGUCCAAAGAGAAUCACCACAUUCUUUGAAGAGACCAAUGGAACAAGCAUGGUGUAAUCCCCCGUAAAUUUAUUACAUUUUAUUUAUAUAUUUUGACGUAUAUUUAAUAUAUUUAAAUAAGAAUUUAUGAAUUUUAAAAAUAAAUAUAUAAUUAACGUAUAUUUAUAGAUUACAUUUUAAUAUUUUCAACGAUUUACGAAAUCGAAAAUAAUUUUAGAAUUUUAAGUUGAAAAGAAUUUGAAUUACGAAAAUUGAUUGAAUUUAGAAAACGAUCCUAUUAAGUUUUGGAUUCGAAUCAUAAAAGCAAAAUCCUAAUUUUAGCCCACUUGGGAAAGCCCAACAUUAAAACCCAAGCUCAAAACCUCACCCAAACUAUUUCACGUAAAAGAAAUCAAAGCCCUCAUCUCCCUUUCCUGUUUCACGUAACUCAAACCCUCACCCUCACACUGCAGUUUUCUCUCCUCCCUUCACGUCCGUAGCUCGCCAGCCGCCGGACCACCGUCGCCUCUGUCAGCCGCCGGACCACCGCCGCGCAACGACCGCGAGUUUCCUCGCCACCUCACCACCACCCAGUGUCACCAUGACAGCCGCCGCGCCGCCGACCGGUCUGCUCUGCCGCGCUGCCUUGCUAUCCUGACAGCCUUGUUCUUCCCUCUUGUUCGUAGUUCCUCUUUCCCUUCAUUCUUUCGUGUGCCACCACCAUCAACACACGCCACAACCGACGCUGCUACCACCCAGCACAACCACCUGCCGCCCAGCCGCGACCACCUGCUGCCGCGCCCUACCCGCCGGCCAGCACCUCACUCUCUUCUCUUUUGGUGAAGAAUUCUCUGUAGGCGACUUUUGAAAGUGUUAAAUUGGUCUAUCAGUUUGUUUACACAAGAGGCAAAACUUGGAGGCCUAGUGUUUUACCUGAAUAUGGAUGGCAAGAGGUGGAAACAAGCUAAUGCAAGGGAUGUGGUGGCGGAGUUAGAAGGGAUUUUAGGAGUCAGACCGUGCCUUUGCUGCAAACGAAAAGGUGGCAGGCCCUUUUUUUAUGAAAACUAAAAUUCCAGCUUAACAUAGGUUUGUAAAUGCUAAGCUAUGGCAAGCGAAACUGCUACAAGGGAAUUCAAGACUUCGAAGAUCUUUAUUGGCAAUGAAAAGGGGUUUUGAAUUAGGAUGUCUGUUUUUAUGUAACUCUUCCCAAAAUGUCAAUUACUUUAAACUUAGGCAGUUAUACCCAUGAAUUUUAAUUUUGUUUAA
Spinacia oleracea (spinach) is the source of this 1961-nucleotide long non-coding RNA. RefSeq lists it as uncharacterized. NCBI's taxonomy places the organism in Eukaryota, Viridiplantae, Streptophyta, Magnoliopsida, Caryophyllales, Amaranthaceae. The record is from RefSeq and is a predicted model, not a curated record. The transcript is spliced from 6 exons.